This is a long non-coding RNA of Myotis daubentonii (Daubenton's bat), 861 nucleotides long. RefSeq lists it as uncharacterized. The record is from RefSeq and is a predicted model, not a curated record. Lineage: Eukaryota; Metazoa; Chordata; Mammalia; Chiroptera; Vespertilionidae. The transcript has 2 exons.
CUUGUCUGCCAGACGGCCCACUGCCAAGGCCACCACUGCCUGGAAUCGUGUCAGCGGGAGAGCCUAUGUGGGAUACAAAAAGAAUCAGCUCACAUCCCACAUCAUCCUUUCUGCUCAAGAUGUUCUUGAAGUAGAAGGCUGUUCACCUUCUGCUGGACGAUUCGGGUGAAGAGUUGCAAAACACGGCUUCGUACAAAGGAAUUGACAUCAUGGCCAUGGGCUUGCAGGGUGUCCAAGAACUGGUCUCUGGUGUCUCGGGCUGCUUCCUCCAGCUGAUCACCAUUCAGAACCUGCAGUAUCAUCUCUGCCAUGGCUGCGAGCACAGCAUUGCGCAUCAUGUAAUUCUGAGAGAGAAAUGAAGUUGGUAUAAGCCUCUGCAUCCACUACUCACUUUCCCUUUCCUAAUUCUUAAGCCUGUCCAGGCACUCAGAAGGGGCAAGGCCCUUUAGUCAAGGUUAAACUUGCUUGUCUUAGCUGUAACUUUCCCUGGAAAAAUCUGAAUCCCAGAGGAGCUUUGUUUGCUCAGAGAAGGAUGUAGAGACAAAAUAAACAAGAGCCAAAAACCAUUUCCCCGCUAAGGUUCAUCCAGGUAAUCAUGGUGGUAGCUGAAUAUGAAAUUGAAUUUACCCCCAAUAUACAUUUGAAAAGCAUUAAUGACUACCUUUCACCACCUUUGAUCCUUACUAAUAAAUGCGCCCUUCCCUCCCACUCCUCUAUUUUACUGACAGAAAAGGAAACACAGAGAAAUAGAAAUCAGACCUAUAGUGCCAGCAAGUCCAUUACAGAAUCUGGUAGAGAAAAGGGUUUAGGGUUAUUUUCUAGGCCAAGAGCCAGAGAAGGGGGUCUUGAACAAGAAGUUAA